UGACCCCUUCCGUGCCGCAGUUAACACAAUAAGUAUUCCACCUGGGGAGUACGACCGCAAGGUUGAAACUCAAAGGAAUUGACGGGGGCCCGCACAAGCGGUGGAUUAUGUGGUUUAAUUCGACGCAACGCGAAGAACCUUACCAGGACUUGACAUCCAACUAACGAAGUAGAGAUACAUUAGGUGCCCUUCGGGGAAAGUUGAGACAGGUGGUGCAUGGUUGUCGUCAGCUCGUGUCGUGAGAUGUUGGGUUAAGUCCCGCAACGAGCGCAACCCCUAUUGUUAGUUGCUACGAAAGAGCACUCUAGCGAGACUGCCGUUGACAAAACGGAGGAAGGCGGGGACGACGUCAAAUCAUCAUGCCCCUUAUGUCCUGGGCUACACACGUAAUACAAUGGUGGUUAACAGAGGGAAGCAAAGCCGCGAGGUGGAGCAAAUCCCUAAAAGCCAUCUCAGUUCGGAUUGCAGGCUGCAACUCGCCUGCAUGAAGCUGGAAUCGCUAGUAAUCGCGGAUCAGCAUG
This 521-nucleotide ribosomal RNA is filed under the name uncultured bacterium. RNAcentral's name for it is "bacterial SSU rRNA". It matches the Rfam family "Bacterial small subunit ribosomal RNA", at positions 832 to 1356 of the family's 1533-position model. The record is from RNAcentral.